This 253-nucleotide ribosomal RNA is filed under the name uncultured bacterium. RNAcentral's name for it is "partial 16S ribosomal RNA". It matches the Rfam family "Bacterial small subunit ribosomal RNA", at positions 524 to 776 of the family's 1533-position model. The record is from RNAcentral.
UACAGAGGGGGCAAGCGUUAUUCGGAAUUAUUGGGCGUAAAGGGCGCGUAGGCGGCGAUUCAAGUGACGGGUGAAAUCCCUCGGCUUAACCGAGGAACUGCCUGUCAGACUGGGUUGCUUGAGACCGGGAGAGGCGAGUGGAAUUCCCAGUGUAGCGGUGAAAUGCGUAGAUAUUGGGAGGAACACCAGUGGCGAAGGCGGCUCGCUGGACCGGAACUGACGCUGAGGCGCGCAAGCGUGGGGAGCAAACAGG